UGGGGAAUAUUGCACAAUGGGCGCAAGCCUGAUGCAGCCAUGCCGCGUGUAUGAAGAAGGCCUUCGGGUUGUAAAGUACUUUCAGCGGGGAGGAAGGCGAUAAGGUUAAUAACCUUGUCGAUUGACGUUACCCGCAGAAGAAGCACCGGCUAACUCCGUGCCAGCAGCCGCGGUAAUACGGAGGGGGCAAGCGUUAAGCGGAAUUACUGGGCGUAAAGCGCACGCAGGCGGUCUGUCAAGUCGGAUGUGAAAUCCCCGGGCUCAACCUGGGAACUGCAUUCGAAACUGGCAGGCUAGAGUCUUGUAGAGGGGGGUAGAAUUCCAGGUGUAGCGGUGAAAUGCGUAGAGAUCUGGAGGAAUACCGGUGGCGAAGGCGGCCCCCUGGACAAAGACUGACGCUCAGGUGCGAAAGUGUGGGGAGCAAACA
RNAcentral lists this ribosomal RNA (427 nucleotides) under uncultured bacterium. RNAcentral describes it as "partial 16S ribosomal RNA". It matches the Rfam family "Bacterial small subunit ribosomal RNA", at positions 355 to 774 of the family's 1533-position model. The record is from RNAcentral.